CAGAAUUUUGUUCAAUAAACUACUUCAGUUAGAUCUACCACGAAGUGUUAUAAAUUGGAUUAUUGAUUUCUUAAGUAACAGAUUCCAAAGAAUCAAACUUUCACAAGGAUGUUUUUCAGAUUGGGGUGCAGUACCUUCGGGCGUCCCUCAAGGCACCAUUUUAGGUCCAUGGCUCUUUUUAAUCCUGAUAAAUGAUUUAUCUAUCACAGAUACUGACUUAUGGGAAUAUGUGGACGAUACGACAGUAUCGGAAACAGUUGACAAAAACCAACAGAGUAGAGCACAGACAAUUGCUAAUGAGAUGUCACAAUGUUCCCAAAACAAUAAAAUGAAGCUGAAUGAAGAGAAAUGUAAGGAGCUCCGUAUUUCCUUCUCAAAAGUCCCUCGUGAUUUUAACCCGAUACUUAUUAACAAUAAAAGUAUUAGAGUCGUAAAAUCCGUUAAACUUCUGGGCUUGUCAUUCGAUAAUAACCUGACGUGGAAUCUACAUAUCGAAGAGGUAGUUAAAAAAGUAUCCAAACGAAUCUAUUACCUGAUCCAACUCAAACGGGCCGGUAUUCCUUGGAACAAUCUGGUUCUAUUUUAUUUUACAUGUAUUCGAUCUGUUAUCGACUAUGGUAUCCCUGUCAUUUACUAUUCGUUGCCAAAAUACUUGCGUUCCGAAUUGGAAAGAUUACAAAAAAGAGCUAUUA
This is a non-coding RNA of Paramuricea clavata, 692 nucleotides long. The record is from the annotation of a GenBank genome assembly. NCBI's taxonomy places the organism in Eukaryota, Metazoa, Cnidaria, Anthozoa, Malacalcyonacea, Plexauridae.